Molecule: ribosomal RNA, 383 nt
Filed under: uncultured bacterium
Lineage: Bacteria
Description: partial 16S ribosomal RNA
Rfam family: Bacterial small subunit ribosomal RNA
Source: RNAcentral
CCUACGGGUGGCAGCAGUAGGGAAUAGUGCUCAAUGGGGGAAACCCUGAAGCAGCAACGCCGCGUGGAGGAUGAAGGUUUUCGGAGGGUAAACUCCUUUUGGUAGAGAAGAGAAUGACGGUAGCUAACGAAUAAGCACCGGCUAACGCCGUGCCAGCAGCCGCGGUAAUACGGAGGGUGCAAGCUUUACUCGGAAUCACUGGGCGUAAAGAGUUCGUAGGUGGCAUAUGAAGUCUGGUGUUAAAUGCAGACGCUCAACUUCUGUUCGGCACUGGAUACUGGUAAGCUUGACUGCGGUAGAGGUAACGGGUAUUCCUGGUGUAGCGGUGAACUGCGUAGAUAUCAGGCGGAACCUCGGUGGCGUCCGCGCUUUACUGGGCCGUA